UUAGUGCUCAGUUUGACAAACUUCAUUAGCACAUGUGCAGGUAACUCAUUGACAGGCGCAAUGUUUUGAGCAAACAAGCCAAGACAGAAGACUAGACCAUACUUUCUUUAAACUACACAUUUUUGGCUGGCUAAUACAAAUCACCUAAUUUUUCACAAUAGUUCGUAGUCUUGUAGGCUAGGCCAAAAGUGGAAUAAAUGCGUUAUUUCAAGCCAACUAAAUUUAAUUCAGCACUCAAAAUAACACUACCGAGGUCUGAUAAAUAAAUGUGUAAGGAACCGCUGGAGAUCUAUCAGCUUGCGCGUAUUAUGGGCUACUGCUGAUUUCCAUACGGUUGCCUUGGAUACCUGUCUCUAAAAAAUCCUGCCUGAGCCUGACAACUAGCCUUCUUGAAAGCAGCUGGUCGACACCACCAAGAGAAGAGAUGCUGAGAUAGGCUGCGCUGGGAGGAGUUUUCCCAGCGGACGGUGAUCUGAAUCAUUUUCAACAGCAGUCCACUCAAUCUCUGACCACAUUUCGUAUUCUGUUCUUCGCGAAUACGCCCAUGCGAUGGAAGAAACCUUCGAAUUUUGGCAAAUGCAGAUAUUACACCUCAACGCAGGAAAAGAGAGUCCAGCCCCUGACCCCACAGAAAUGGAGAAUGGAUGAAGAUCAGCUACCAGAAUCCCCCUGACUGUGAACUCUAUUACCCAGGUACAAGUACUGUAUAUUAAAUAUCUUUUACACACACUUGUUUGUGUUGUGUGUGUUUUAUACACAACACUGUCUUUCCGUCUUUCAGUUUUAGUAUUCGGAGCACUGCAUACACUCGACUAGGCAUGUUUACUAUGUGUGCGUGCGUGUGUGCUCUAUCCAUUCAGUCUCAAUUUUGCCUUCUAGAUGGGCUAUGGCUUAAGGCCAAAUCAGCCGUGGCCGACACGUAGUGUCACACUUAGCUGUGACGCACACGGUUGCCUUCCACUCUCUGCUGCUUUCCACCUCUCUGCUCCCCUACAGGGCUCCGAAGGAUGUCCACACCGGGAGGAGAUCAGCGUCCUUACCUGGCCCCCCCUGCGUGCUUCUGUCCACUCGGAGGAGUUACCAGGGCGCCCCGUCAUUUCGAAAAUGGAGGUGUUGUUCCCAUUCCUGAGCACUCUGGAGGAAUUCAGCAAGGGGAGAAAGCACAUGGUGCUUUCAGGAAGACGGUCAACCAGUUACUGAUGUCAAAUAGCCGCACUGAACUAACACUGAGACAAGCGCAAAACGUUUGAAAAGAUCUUACCUUAAUGUCCACACUUUUAAGACUGUUCCUUUAUGCUGUGCAUCAAGAAACACAGACAAUGUGUUAUACACAUGUGUUAGGGCAGCAACUAACGAUUAUGUUCAUAGUCGAUUAAUCUGUCGAUUAUUUUCCCGACUAAUGACUUAACGAUUUUAUGUUCUCAAAUGCCUUGUUUAGUCAACAUGCCAAAGACAUGCAGUUAACUGUAAAAUGAGUAAGCAAAGAUGGACAUUAUUCAAGUUUAAGAAGCUGCAAUCAGAGAAUUGAGAGAUAUUUUCCUUUAAAAAGUGACACUAACUGAUUAACUGCCUACCAAAUUGGUUGGCAAUUAACUUAACAGUUGACAACUAAUCUGAUAAUCGAUUCAUUGUUGCGACCCUACUACAUAUUCAACGGUAUGCAAUAUGUGACCUUUAAGGUUGAACUCCUUCUAUGGCAUAUAGUGAAAUCAUUUGUAUUUGUGAGAGUGAGACCUACCGCUGACAGGUAGAGCAUUACACAGAAAGCUGCACCAACUGAACUAUACCUUUCAAACACUUCCUCUAAUCUCCUAUCUCACUUGCUGUCCCGCAUUUGAGGAAGCCAAAGUGUGUCACACAGACUGGCAAGAGAGAAGUACACGUGAGAGAAGUGGAAGUGUGUGUUUUUGGAGCUGCGUGGUGGUUCUCUUUUUCUCUUUUUUUCCCCUACAUGCCUUUCGCAUCUCUCUUUGUCCUCUCUCUCAUCACCCCCUCUGUGGCCUUGGUUGUCUGCAGUGUAUUUGCAUACCUGUUUGUCUACUACACCCUGCGUGACUGCUUUGUACGCUCGCCAUUUGCAUAACCGUAGAAAAGAAGAACCAGGUGAUGGAGGGUUGCAAGCUCUUGUUGUGUAUCACUGGAUUCGUACAGUGUUUUUCCAUGCGUUUACUGAUGUGGUUUGUUUGAGCGAAAUAAGUUUCUGCCGAAUUGUGUCGAGAUAACCCUCAAUGACCUGGAAUCUUCGCACACUUUUCUGUGCUCAUGUCUUGUGUUCUUUGAGGACAGGCACCCUAUCCCCACCUUUUAAACAGAAAUGUUGAUGGCUUUUCUCUUUCGUUUGCAGUGCACUGAAUAGGUGACAGGUAACAUUUUACUUGCAUGCAAAAGUGUUUCCUUCUAAAGCUCCCCCCAUAGAUGGUGGUAGGUUAGAUUUAAUAGAUUUCUGACUAAAUAUAUUCCUGGCUUAAUCCUUUUGGAUUUGGAUUAAUGCUGCGGUCAGUAAUUUAAUGCGUUAGGGUAAUGGAUUAAUGGAUUGCUUCGCUGAUGUAAGAGCUUGAGGUUAAUUUUAAGUCGUGAUUUUCAUGUUGUGAGGUCAAUUUAUGGUUUUGAUCAGCAGUACAUCUUCAUUUGUCCAAGAUGUCUAUGAAAUGAGAACCUAAAUUACAUGUUUUAACGUAGGGAGUACAUGACCCAACAUACAGUCUAAGAUCUUUGAUUCAGUACGCUUAAUUAGCAUUCUUUGCAGAAAAGCACAAUACAUUUUUGACCACAUAUGGCAAGCUGCUAUCUAAUCAGUGCACUGCAACUGAAAUGAUGAAAAUAGCGACAAAACAACUAACAUGGAUAUGCUCACAGUUCCCUUGUUGCAAUGGCUGAUGACAACACUAACAUCUUAAAAGACUAAUCGCACAUCUUAGAGACUAACACCUCUCUCUUUCUCUCUGUGAUGUCCCUGCGUAGCGGGCUGCAACACAUUUCCUCCCCUUUUGCUGUUUCCCUGCUAACACUGAUUUUAACAACUGUUUUUCCCUUUCCCUCUUCAAAUACUAAUGAUGCCUAACACCACUAACAAGGUUGCUUAUGAGCUUACUGUAGAUUGCCUAUCGCGUCUUACUUCUUGCUUGCUGUCUUAGCUGGAGGUGAACAUUCUCAGAACAAGAGUGGCCCUCUGAGAUGCAAACAUUCCUUUGGUGUUCCAGAAUGUUUUGAGAAUGUUUUCUGCUCAGCUUGUUCUUUCCAAGACUGUGGCUAUGCAACUUAGAGUACCCUGCAUCAUAUUCUCUCCCCGUGGUGCAUAUUCUCCUUCUUUACACGCGUGUACUCUGUGUGUGUAUGUGUGUGUGAGUGUGUGUGUGUGCGCGUGUGAGUGUUUGUGCAAACUGUGAAUGGAAUGCUGCAUGAGACAACAGGCUUUGCCAUAAGCUCUUGGAACACUGUAUGUAAAACUAACCCACACCAGGACAAUCCUGGUCUGCUAACCAGAACUAACAGCGAUUAACCAACAAACUAACUUUGGUGCACCACAGUCUUGCUGUGUCUAUUUAACAUCUUCUGCCUCCAGUCACACCUCCUUAAUUGCAUCCACCUUGCCUAUUUCCUCUGGUAAACUGACAUGCCAUGCGUUGGGUAUAUUGGGUAUUUGUGUGUGUACGUGCAUGGAUGUUAACGUGUCUUCAGAGUGGGUAUCAUUUGUAUGUUGUGUAGGUGAAUGCUAUGGGUGUGUGAGGUACUAAAUGAUGAUUGCCAAGGCAUUUCUACCUUAUUCUUGUGCCUUGUAAAAGGUUCUUCUUUGUCACUUUCUGGUGGACUGAUGUCUGCGUAACACUUUACUCUUACUAACGAUCUCAGUGCGCUACUUGCGCUCUUACUAACGAUCUCAGUGCGCUAUAUUUGCGCUCUUACUAACUAAUGAUCUCAGUGCGCUACUUGCGCUCUUACUAACGAUCUCAGUGCGCUAUACUUGCGCUCUUACUAACGAUCCCAAUGCGCUAUACUUGCGCUCUUACUAACGAUCCCAAUGCGCUAUACUUGCGCUUUUACUAACGAUCCCAGUGCGCUAUACUUGCGCUCUUACUAACGAUCCCAGUGCGCUAUACUUGCGCCUUUACUAACGAUCCCAGUGCGCUAUACUUGCGCUCUUACUAACGAUCUCAGUGCGCUAUACUUGCGCUCUUACUAACGAUCUCAGUGCGCUAUACUUGCGCUCUUACUAACGAUUUCAGUGCGCUAUACUUGAGCUCUUACUAACGAUCUCAGUGCGCUAUACUUGCGCUUUUACUAACGAUCUCAGUGCGCUAUACUUGCGCUUUUACUAACGAUUCCAGUGCGCUAUACAUGCGCUCUUACUAACUAACGAUCUCAGUGCGCUAUACUUGCACUUUUACUAACUAACGAUCUCAGUGUGCUAUACUUGCACUUGUACUAACUAACUAUCCCUGUGCACUAUACUUGCACUCUUACUAACUAACGAUCAGUGCACUAUACUUGCACUUGUACUAAUGAUCCCUGUGUGCUAUACUUGCACUUUUACUAACGAUCUCAGUGCGCUAUACUUGCACUUUUACUAACUAACGAUCUCAGUGCGCUCUAGUUGCGCUCUUACUAACCCACAAUCUCACUGCGCUAUAGUUGCGCUCUUACUAACCCACAAUUUCACUGUAGUUUGUGCUCUUGCUUCAAGUUGCUUAUGACCCGGAAAAUGCUGACUAACCACUAACAGAAUGAUCUGUAUCGGAGGUGUCUUGCUGAGGAUCAUAUAAUUUGCCUUUCAUUGUGACAAUAGCCAGCUAUAUAGAAAUCACAUGUAGUUGCAUUUCUAAAGCUGCUGCUAUCCAAUAUAGCUCUGUUUUGGUUGUGCUCGGAUUUGGCUGACAGAUCUUCAAGUACAUCUAUUAAAUCAUUAAUUUAAAGGCCAGUCUUGAGUAGAUGAAAGAAAACCUCAGCAGGAUAUAUCUGUGGCAGACAAAUUGUGAUUUUAUUAACAACAUCCAUAUCAGUAGUCUCACACACUAAACACAGGGUCACAGUUAGAUUCCCAGUGAGAUCUUCAUUAAGCUAUGAUCAUUUGUAACCACGCUCAAUCAUGCUGGCCUUUGAAGGCCCCAUAUUCUACAGACACCAAAGUAAUGUGAACAUUCCCUUAGCCCGAGGUGGUAGAGCAGUCUAAUCAGUAAUCAGUAGAUGCUGCAUGGCGCUCAAGCAAAUCAGAUAUCUGCAGGGCACAGAGUCUCCCAGGAAUAUAUUGUGAGGGUCUGUCCAAGGGUACAUCCCAGCAGAUGCUCCCCGGAGCUCUGGACUGGCCUUCUCUGGGCCUUGCUGUAGACCAGGGUGCGAGUUAGGGGGGAGCAGGGGGAGCCAUGGCUCCCCUAGUGGCCACCUGAGCUCCCCUGGAAACAUGGUUUGUGAAAUUUUGGGGGAGCUCUAAAAUAUUAAUGAUUGCCAAAUAAAUUAUAUUUUGACCAUGGUUUUCCCUCAAAGGUGUAAAAUCAGAUAAAUAAAAUUGUAUUUUGAGUUCAUGAUUCAUGAAAAAAGUGCCUGCUUUCGCGCUUGAAACGUGGGGACGCUGCCCGCAGCUCCACCCACUACCCACUCACACAAGCUCGUUCACAGUCGAAUGUCUAAAAGAAAAGAAUGUCUAAAAGAAAAAAGCAGUGUUUGGCUCUGUGUACAGGAUAUCCCAUGUGGUUGUGAAACAAUGUAAGUUGUUGAGUAGCCUAAUUCUAAGUUGAUUCAAUUAAACAGUCAGAGGACACAUUAUUGGUGGUCCGUGGAUUAUUUACUAUCAAGUUCACUGAAGUUUGCGUAGCCCAUUCGGGAAAUCUGUUGACGUGAUCCAUCAGGGUGUUUCGUCUAAGUAUGGCUAUAUACUGUAGCUGUUAGACCUAUCGCACCCGUGUGCAACGAAUUUUCUCUUUAUAAUAGGCCUAUGCCUAUGCUGUUGCAGGAUCGGCAUUUAAACUUAGCCCCCCCCCCCCCCCCCAAAAAAAAAGACCCCGCCCCGCCCCCCGGCUCCCCC
Molecule: long non-coding RNA, 6016 nt
Organism: Sardina pilchardus (European sardine)
Lineage: Eukaryota; Metazoa; Chordata; Actinopteri; Clupeiformes; Clupeidae
Exons: 3
Source: RefSeq, a predicted model, not a curated record